ACCUGAUUAAAAUAAUUUACGCUUUGCUACCAUGCUGGUGCAAUAGCAAGGUCUUGCACAGUUUAAGUGUUAUCUUAUCAAAUCAUUAUGUACCUAUAAUUGUUCUAUAUGACGAGUUUCUUUUCUUUAUGGAAUAGAGAAAUAUAAAUUUAUUACCAAGUCUUAAUGGUGUAGGGUAUAUGUAAAUGAAUUCAAUUAGAACUCACAUUUUUGUUUUCUGUUUUGUAGCUGCCUUGAUCAUUAGUUGGUGAUAUUUGGGAGAUUGGGUCAUCUGGUUGUUUGGAUUUAAGUGGGAUUGAAGUUAUUUUUGCCGCUUUUUGUGAUUUGGGUCUGGGUUAUGGUCAAGUUAUUGCUAUUUAUUCUGGGUAUUUGCUGAAAUUUGUGUUCAAUUAGUGUGAGUUCUGUAAUUGGUUUGUGUUCGUUCAUAUAACCUUAUGUUCUUGGAAUGUGAUUUAGCUGUGGCUCUUUCAUUUGAUUCUUAAUUCUUUAUGAUUCAGCACUAUGUUGAUAUUGAUGAUGAAUUUUUCCUCGCGAUUAAUGCUUUCAUGUUUAAAUCUUAAUAACUAUACUUGCUUCUCUUGGGUGUAUGUUUUGCCGGUCAUGAAAAACUGUCGGCCAAUCUUUUUGCACCACUCUUUCGCACUCUUUUCCGUGGCUAUCAUGUUUCUCUCUGACCUUAUAAAUUUUGCCUUCAUUCACAACAAAAAACCUUGCGACGAGCAAACAGGCACAACCAAUUCUGCCAGAAUUGCUGGAGAAUUCCACAACCAAGGUCAUCGAGUACGGCCGAAAGCAUGUUGAGGGUCGAGACGGCGAUAGCACCGAUGUUGGCAAGAGCGGCGACCCCUUUUCAAGAUUGUUGGGUCCAAAAGAAGAAGAAGAAGAAGGAGUGAACAACAUGAAAUUGGCUUUGGAAUACGUCAUUGAAGAAUGUUAAUGAAUCCAAACAUGGGUUUUGGGGUGUUCUUGCUAGAAAAGCCAAAGACAUUCUCGACGAUGAUGAUAAUGGAGUUCAGGAUUAUGAUUCACCCCGAACAACAAGGACGAAUAUGCUGUCUUUGCCAACAAGGGGAUAAGGCUAUGUUGGGGCAAGAACUGUGCAGGCAAAGACAUAAGAGUGAUGGAUUUUGGAACGAAAUGCAGAGGAUAUCAUUUUGUGCUGCUUAAGAGAGCUCAGCAUGAGGGUGCUGUUGGUUUACCUUGCCUGGAUGUGUAGCAGUGUGGGGUUGUUCAAGAAAAAAGGUUUUAAAGGAUCCUUUGCAGAUGCAGGAUCUUCUGCUAAAUGAUAACAUUGCAAUCCGAGUGUAAUUAACAUUUGCAGUUUUGUCCGGAGUGUGUGAGCUGUUGCUUCAGCCAAAACAGGUGCUCUCUCCAUUUUUCAUUUCUUCCAUACUCAAACCCUAGCCGCUCCACCUGUCUCUCCCACACAUAAGCAAACUCCAUCUGAAAGCCGAAGAAUCCAAAGGCACAACAAGGAUUGUAGACUACACAAACUUAGAAGAUAUGAAGUGUGCGAUCAAAAAGCUUGAUGGCUCUGAGUUCCGAAAUGCUUUUGACCGCCAAUCUGUUUGCGUUGGUCAAGGACAUGGGGAGAAGAGCACUUUGGAAAUGGUAAGGUGCACAAAUAUGGAAAAAGCACGACAGGGGAAAGCUGGGAUAUUGUUGUGGAUGAGGAGACCUAUUACGAGUGAGUCUGGACUUGGUUCUGGUUCUGUCUACAUAUAGUAUGUUGAAGCAGUCAAAAGGAUUUCAGGGGCUAUAAGGGAUGGCUGUAGAGGCCACCCGCUCGAUAUUGCCUUGUUCGGUUGUUCAUCCAGAUACAAAUUCUUGUUUAGCUCAGAAUGCACGGGCUACAUCAGCUACAUUUAGGAAAACAUUUCCGCUUUACUUUUCUUUGAUGUUUGUACCAUUCAUUGUUUUCAGCCUACAG
Malus domestica (apple) is the source of this 1930-nucleotide non-coding RNA. NCBI's taxonomy places the organism in Eukaryota, Viridiplantae, Streptophyta, Magnoliopsida, Rosales, Rosaceae. The record is from RefSeq and is a predicted model, not a curated record.